GUUUGAGUCGGGCGCUUUCAAAGAACUGGUCAAGCUCAUCGGUGCCAACCAUCAUACCACAACGGCAUAUCAUCCGACAGCUAAUGGGUCCCCAUCGGAAACCCCUUCAAGCACCUUAUUCAGGUCCAUACAGGGUGCUGCGACGCGAGGAGAAAACCUUUGACAUCGACGUACAAGGCAAAACGCAGCGAAUCAGCAUAGACAGACUGAAACCAGCUUACAUACUCGCUGAGGACCAGACAGACCAGAAUAUCAAAGUUCAGGAGAAGUCUGAUGCCAUCCCUGCCAGUAAAACCAGGAGUGGUAGAGUGGUCAGAUUCCCAAACUACUAUCGCCCGUAGUCACGGUCUCGGCGGGGGAGUAGUGUGGCGAGUGCACAAUGCGUCUAAACGCAGCACAAACAUCACCUGAUCAACCACGUCAUGGAUCAGGUGAUGUUGCAGUGGUCUGAUGUAUGUCGUCACACGUAUGGAUACGCCCCUUCGGCAAUAUGGUCGCAUGCGCAUCUAUUGUCCUCGCAGCGACGUCACACGCUUGACCACACCCCCAGCAAGAUGGCCGCAUGCAUCGCUUUUGUUUUCGCCUAGGAGGAGGUCCCAAAAGUGGCAAGCACGCGUGGUGGUCAUCGUGAGAGGGGAAUGCCUAUAUAAGCGCUGUUGUUGUUGUUUAUUUUUAAUAAAUUAAUUAUUUCAUCUAUUUUUACUGUGCGCUCUAAUGUAAACAUUGUUGACUUGUCACAAUAAAUAAUUCUUAAAGUC
This is a long non-coding RNA of Nymphalis io (European peacock), 758 nucleotides long. RefSeq lists it as uncharacterized. Lineage: Eukaryota; Metazoa; Arthropoda; Insecta; Lepidoptera; Nymphalidae. The record is from RefSeq and is a predicted model, not a curated record. The transcript is spliced from 2 exons.